RNAcentral lists this ribosomal RNA (279 nucleotides) under uncultured bacterium. RNAcentral describes it as "partial 16S ribosomal RNA". It matches the Rfam family "Bacterial small subunit ribosomal RNA", at positions 506 to 784 of the family's 1533-position model. The record is from RNAcentral.
UGCCAGCAGCCGCGGUAAUGCGGAGGGUGCGAGCGUUAUCCGGAAUCACUGGGUUUAAAGGGUCCGUAGGCGGGCAAUUAAGUCAGAGGUGAAAUCUUGCGGCUUAACCGUAAAAUUGCCUUUGAUACUGUUGGGCUUGAAUUAGGUUGAGGUUGGCGGAAUGUGGCAUGUAGCGGUGAAAUGCAUAGAUAUGCCAUAGAACACCAAUUGCGAAGGCAGCUGACUAGACCUUAAUUGACACUGAGGCGCGAAGGCGUGGGUAGCGAACGGGAUUAGAUA